GAAUUGACCAAGUGGUUAAGGCGAUGAACUGCUAAUCCAUAGGGCUCUGCCUGAGUGGGUUCGAAUCCCAUCCUCAUAGACU
Non-coding RNA from Trichonephila clavipes, 82 nucleotides. Lineage: Eukaryota; Metazoa; Arthropoda; Arachnida; Araneae; Nephilidae. The record is from the annotation of a GenBank genome assembly.